GAAAGAGGAGGCAAGCGUUAUCCGGAAUUAUUGGGCGUAAAGCGUCCGUAGGUGGUUUGACAAGUCUGGGGUUAAAGCCCGGAGCCCAACUCCGGAUCGGCCCUGGAAACUGUCAGACUUGAGUAAGGUAGGGGUUGCGGGAAUUCCCGGUGUAGCGGUGAAAUGCGUAGAUAUCGGGAAGAACACCAGCGGCGAAAGCGCGCAACUGGGCCAUUACUGACUCUGAGGGACGAAAGCUAGGGGAGCGUAUGGG
RNAcentral lists this ribosomal RNA (253 nucleotides) under uncultured bacterium. Its description in RNAcentral is "partial 16S ribosomal RNA". It matches the Rfam family "Bacterial small subunit ribosomal RNA", at positions 524 to 776 of the family's 1533-position model. The record is from RNAcentral.